CAAUAGCGUAUAUUAAAGUUGUUGCAGUUAAAACGCUCGUAGUUGAAUAUCUGUUAUAAUUGUCCGGCCCACCUCGGUGUGAUCCGGUACACGAAUGGCAUUCGUUUGCUUUGAUUUUCAUUGCAAACCGUUUACUUUGAGGAAAUUAGAGUGUUCAAAGCAGGCAGUCGCCUUGAAUACUUCAGCAUGGAAUAAUUGAUAGGACUUCCGUUCUGUCUUUGGUUCUCGGAACGUGAAGUAAUGAUUAAUAGGGGCGGUCGGGGGGCAUUCGUAUUGAACAGCCAGAGGUGAAAUUCUUAGAUUUGUUCAAGACGAACUACUGCGAAAGCAUUUGCCAAGUACGUUCCCAUUAA
Molecule: ribosomal RNA, 353 nt
Filed under: uncultured eukaryote
Lineage: Eukaryota
Description: partial 18S ribosomal RNA
Rfam family: Eukaryotic small subunit ribosomal RNA
Source: RNAcentral